UUCUGUCACAGAUUUCUUCCUCAAAACCUGG
RNAcentral lists this non-coding RNA (31 nucleotides) under Mus musculus (house mouse). The record is from RNAcentral. Lineage: Eukaryota; Metazoa; Chordata; Mammalia; Rodentia; Muridae.